Molecule: ribosomal RNA, 2901 nt
Filed under: Escherichia coli DEC9E
Lineage: Bacteria; Pseudomonadati; Pseudomonadota; Gammaproteobacteria; Enterobacterales; Enterobacteriaceae
Description: bacterial LSU rRNA
Rfam family: Bacterial large subunit ribosomal RNA
Source: RNAcentral
UAAGCGACUAAGCGUACACGGUGGAUGCCCUGGCAGUCAGAGGCGAUGAAGGACGUGCUAAUCUGCGAUAAGCGUCGGUAAGGUGAUAUGAACCGUUAUAACCGGCGAUUUCCGAAUGGGGAACCCAGUGUGAUUCGUCACACUAUCAUUAACUGAAUCCAUAGGUUAAUGAGGCGAACCGGGGGAACUGAAACAUCUAAGUACCCCGAGGAAAAGAAAUCAACCGAGAUUCCCCCAGUAGCGGCGAGCGAACGGGGAGCAGCCCAGAGCCUGAAUCAGUAUGUGUGUUAGUGGAAGCGUCUGGAAAGGCGCGCGAUACAGGGUGACAGCCCCGUACACAAAAAUGCACAUGCUGUGAGCUCGAUGAGUAGGGCGGGACACGUGGUAUCCUGUCUGAAUAUGGGGGGACCAUCCUCCAAGGCUAAACACUCCUGACUGACCGAUAGUGAACCAGUACCGUGAGGGAAAGGCGAAAAGAACCCCGGCGAGGGGAGUGAAAAAGAACCUGAAACCGUGUACGUACAAGCAGUGGGAGCACAGAGCAAUCUGUGUGACUGCGUACCUUUUGUAUAAUGGGUCAGCGACUUAUAUUCUGUAGCAAGGUUAACCGAAUAGGGGAGCCGAAGGGAAACCGAGUCUUAACUGGGCGUUAAGUUGCAGGGUAUAGACCCGAAACCCGGUGAUCUAGCCAUGGGCAGGUUGAAGGUUGGGUAACACUAACUGGAGGACCGAACCGACUAAUGUUGAAAAAUUAGCGGAUGACUUGUGGCUGGGGGUGAAAGGCCAAUCAAACCGGGAGAUAGCUGGUUCUCCCCGAAAGCUAUUUAGGUAGCGCCUCGUGAAUUCAUCUCCGGGGGUAGAGCACUGUUUCGGCAAGGGGGUCAUCCCGACUUACCAACCCGAUGCAAACUGCGAAUACCGGAGAAUGUUAUCACGGGAGACACACGGCGGGUGCUAACGUCCGUCGUGAAGAGGGAAACAACCCAGACCGCCAGCUAAGGUCCCAAAGUCAUGGUUAAGUGGGAAACGAUGUGGGAAGGCCCAGACAGCCAGGAUGUUGGCUUAGAAGCAGCCAUCAUUUAAAGAAAGCGUAAUAGCUCACUGGUCGAGUCGGCCUGCGCGGAAGAUGUAACGGGGCUAAACCAUGCACCGAAGCUGCGGCAGCGACGCUUAUGCGUUGUUGGGUAGGGGAGCGUUCUGUAAGCCUGUGAAGGUGUGCUGUGAGGCAUGCUGGAGGUAUCAGAAGUGCGAAUGCUGACAUAAGUAACGAUAAAGCGGGUGAAAAGCCCGCUCGCCGGAAGACCAAGGGUUCCUGUCCAACGUUAAUCGGGGCAGGGUGAGUCGACCCCUAAGGCGAGGCCGAAAGGCGUAGUCGAUGGGAAACAGGUUAAUAUUCCUGUACUUGGUGUUACUGCGAAGGGGGGACGGAGAAGGCUAUGUUGGCCGGGCGACGGUUGUCCCGGUUUAAGCGUGUAGGCUGGUUUUCCAGGCAAAUCCGGAAAAUCAAGGCUGAGGCGUGAUGACGAGGCACUACGGUGCUGAAGCAACAAAUGCCCUGCUUCCAGGAAAAGCCUCUAAGCAUCAGGUAACAUCAAAUCGUACCCCAAACCGACACAGGUGGUCAGGUAGAGAAUACCAAGGCGCUUGAGAGAACUCGGGUGAAGGAACUAGGCAAAAUGGUGCCGUAACUUCGGGAGAAGGCACGCUGAUAUGUAGGUGAAGUCCCUCGCGGAUGGAGCUGAAAUCAGUCGAAGAUACCAGCUGGCUGCAACUGUUUAUUAAAAACACAGCACUGUGCAAACACGAAAGUGGACGUAUACGGUGUGACGCCUGCCCGGUGCCGGAAGGUUAAUUGAUGGGGUUAGCGCAAGCGAAGCUCUUGAUCGAAGCCCCGGUAAACGGCGGCCGUAACUAUAACGGUCCUAAGGUAGCGAAAUUCCUUGUCGGGUAAGUUCCGACCUGCACGAAUGGCGUAAUGAUGGCCAGGCUGUCUCCACCCGAGACUCAGUGAAAUUGAACUCGCUGUGAAGAUGCAGUGUACCCGCGGCAAGACGGAAAGACCCCGUGAACCUUUACUAUAGCUUGACACUGAACAUUGAGCCUUGAUGUGUAGGAUAGGUGGGAGGCUUUGAAGUGUGGACGCCAGUCUGCAUGGAGCCGACCUUGAAAUACCACCCUUUAAUGUUUGAUGUUCUAACGUUGACCCGUAAUCCGGGUUGCGGACAGUGUCUGGUGGGUAGUUUGACUGGGGCGGUCUCCUCCUAAAGAGUAACGGAGGAGCACGAAGGUUGGCUAAUCCUGGUCGGACAUCAGGAGGUUAGUGCAAUGGCAUAAGCCAGCUUGACUGCGAGCGUGACGGCGCGAGCAGGUGCGAAAGCAGGUCAUAGUGAUCCGGUGGUUCUGAAUGGAAGGGCCAUCGCUCAACGGAUAAAAGGUACUCCGGGGAUAACAGGCUGAUACCGCCCAAGAGUUCAUAUCGACGGCGGUGUUUGGCACCUCGAUGUCGGCUCAUCACAUCCUGGGGCUGAAGUAGGUCCCAAGGGUAUGGCUGUUCGCCAUUUAAAGUGGUACGCGAGCUGGGUUUAGAACGUCGUGAGACAGUUCGGUCCCUAUCUGCCGUGGGCGCUGGAGAACUGAGGGGGGCUGCUCCUAGUACGAGAGGACCGGAGUGGACGCAUCACUGGUGUUCGGGUUGUCAUGCCAAUGGCACUGCCCGGUAGCUAAAUGCGGAAGAGAUAAGUGCUGAAAGCAUCUAAGCACGAAACUUGCCCCGAGAUGAGUUCUCCCUGACUCCUUGAGAGUCCUGAAGGAACGUUGAAGACGACGACGUUGAUAGGCCGGGUGUGUAAGCGCAGCGAUGCGUUGAGCUAACCGGUACUAAUGAACCGUGAGGCUUAACCU